This 258-nucleotide ribosomal RNA is filed under the name uncultured bacterium. RNAcentral describes it as "partial 16S ribosomal RNA". It matches the Rfam family "Bacterial small subunit ribosomal RNA", at positions 524 to 776 of the family's 1533-position model. The record is from RNAcentral.
UACGUAGGUGGCAAGGCGUUGUCCGGAUUUACUGGGCGUAAAGAGCGCGCAGGCGGUCGUCCAAGUCGCGUGUGAAAGCCCCCCGGCUCAACUGGGGAGGGUCACGCGAUACUGAUCGACUCGAAGGCAGGAGAGGGUAGUGGAAUUCCCGGUGUAGUGGUGAAAUGCGCAGAUAUCAGGAGGAACACCGGUGGCGAAGGCGGUUCUCUGGGCAUGUCCUGACGCUGAGGAGCGAAAAGUGUGGGGAGGCGAAACAGG